GCUCUGCUGCUUCUGUAUGACGUCACCAACAAAGCAUCCUUCGACAACAUCAGGGCAUGGCUGACAGAGAUUCAUGAAUACGCCCAGCAGGAUGUGGUCGUCAUGCUGCUGGGCAACAAGGCUGACGUGACACAUGACAGGGUGGUGAAGCGAGAAGAGGGGGAGAAACUGGCAAAGGAAUUUGGAGUGCCGUUUAUGGAGACAAGUGCAAAAUCUGGACUGAAUGUCGAGCUGGCGUUCACUGCUGUGGCCAGG
Molecule: long non-coding RNA, 255 nt
Organism: Pelmatolapia mariae (spotted tilapia)
Lineage: Eukaryota; Metazoa; Chordata; Actinopteri; Cichliformes; Cichlidae
Exons: 4
Source: RefSeq, a predicted model, not a curated record